Molecule: long non-coding RNA, 1057 nt
Organism: Onychostoma macrolepis
Lineage: Eukaryota; Metazoa; Chordata; Actinopteri; Cypriniformes; Cyprinidae
Exons: 5
Source: RefSeq, a predicted model, not a curated record
AUCAUUUACUAAUUCGUUUUCUUGUAUGUAUUAAUUUCCCACAGUCUCAGAGAGCUUUUAGAAACUUAAAAGUCACACUUAAAAAUAACAAUAUAUCUAUUUUUUUGCAAUCUGAAACCUAACAAGUUUUAUUGUUUGAUUUUUGAAAAGUUUUUAAAUGAAUGUCACCUGGUUUUUAUAUUUCUACAUUUUAAAGUGUUUAAAUCACCAGAUAAUUGUUGGGCAUCUAUAUUUCAAUCAUCUCUUUUCCUCUUCUACAGGGAACCUUUAGCAGCCCUUCGAACAUUAGAAAAACUUUCCGGAUUUCAGAAAAGCAGUAUAUUCUCACAGCUCUUGGCGCAAGAGCGAAGUUGAAAUCCUGGUUUGAUGUGGAUAGUCUGUUCAACACCAAAAACUGGCUAGGAUACACCAAGAAAAGAUCUCCCAUUGGCUUUCACAGAGUGGUGGACAUCCUGCAGAAGAACAGCGCCCCUGUAAAUGUGCUGCAGGAGUAUGUGAACCUCAUCGACGACCCAGAACUCAAGCUCAGCGUGGCUCUGAAAUAUAAAUGCCAUGACGUCGUCAUCAAUACAUACAGAGACCUGAAGGACCGGCAGGAGCUUGUUGUGUACAGAGAGAAGCUGGAACGGGACUCGCCCGAAUACAGGAAGAUCCAGGAACUCCUCAAUAACGUGCAAAUCAGAUGGAAAAACUGACACGAGGCAGUGGUGGGCAAUGUGUGUCAGAGCUCUCUUUCAUAGACAAUGUUACACAAAAAAACACUAUGAAGCUGCUUAAUGUGGAGUUAAUCCUGAACAAACACGACUGAGAUCCUCACAGCCGUUGAACAUUGAACAGUCAUUCAGAGGGAUUCUUUUGCAAAUAUAUGUGUUCUGUAUGAUUAAACUGCCAAGUGUCCUUCUGCCAACUCUACAGGUGAACAUUUCUAAAGUGGUUGCUGACGAUGAACAACAUACUGUUUCACCCCUCACACCUUUUUGUUUGCCCGUGUAUGAAUUUCUGAACAUUCCUCACCCUCAUUAUUUUAUAUUAAAAAAUAAUAUGAUACUGAACUGUU